This 71-nucleotide transfer RNA is filed under the name Marmota monax (woodchuck). RNAcentral's name for it is "tRNA.Ala". It matches the Rfam family "tRNA". Rfam says of the family: Transfer RNA (tRNA) molecules are approximately 80 nucleotides in length. Their secondary structure includes four short double-helical elements and three loops (D, anti-codon, and T loops). Lineage: Eukaryota; Metazoa; Chordata; Mammalia; Rodentia; Sciuridae. The record is from RNAcentral.
GGGGUUGUGGCUCAGUGGGAGAGCACUCGCCUAGCAUGUGUGAGGCCCUGGGUUCAAUCCUCAGCACCACA